This 30-nucleotide non-coding RNA is filed under the name Rattus norvegicus (Norway rat). The record is from RNAcentral. Lineage: Eukaryota; Metazoa; Chordata; Mammalia; Rodentia; Muridae.
UUCCAGCGAUACUCAGUUGAUGAAGUCUGC